GCCCCUGUAGCUCAGUCGGCCAGAGCAGCUGUCUUGUAAACAGCAGGUCGCCGGUUCGAAUCCGGCCGGGGGCU
Molecule: transfer RNA, 74 nt
Filed under: Actinomadura rayongensis
Lineage: Bacteria; Bacillati; Actinomycetota; Actinomycetes; Streptosporangiales; Thermomonosporaceae
Also listed under: 1 other name
Description: tRNA-Thr
Rfam family: tRNA
About the family: Transfer RNA (tRNA) molecules are approximately 80 nucleotides in length. Their secondary structure includes four short double-helical elements and three loops (D, anti-codon, and T loops).
Source: RNAcentral